CGCCUCACUCGGCUCCCGGGGUGUGGGUGAGGCGCGGGGACUGCGAACUUCUGAGCGUGCGCGGCCGCAGUCGCCGCGCGGCUUCACCUUUUGCUGCGCGGGUCCUUCCGCUCGCGGCUGCUUCCAGGGCGCCUGGUCGCCUCCGCUUCUGUCCAGGGCCCGGCAGCGACAGCAUCUGAGGGGAAGAUGGAGCUUUUCGGAGAAAUACACUUUAACUCAUUUAUGAAGAAGAUUCAUUUUAUGUCCUCAUUGAGCGAAGGGAAGACUCCCUGGAAAGCGUUCGGUGAGGAAAAGAAGGUGCACGGAGGGGCCUACCUGUAUGUGAAGAUAUGUUGUCUGGAAGGAUAACAGUGAAAGUCAAACAUUUAACACCUGGGUCAGCUCUGCGACCAGGGAUGCUGCUGGCUUGAGAUCCGGAAGCAUGCUGGGGAUCCUCUAAUAUCUAAGUUUUAACCCUGUAAUGACUGACUGAAAUUCCGGGGGGCGGGGGUGACACUCCAGGGGCUUGGAGCAGCAGCUGUUUACCAAUCUGUAGAGAAUCUUUAAGCAGUUUAACAACAUGCGGUCAUCCUGGUGCUCCCUGGCAGCUGCCCACCGGUCCUCCUGGGAGUGGGGACUUGAGGGUGGGAGGGACUCUGUUUCCAGCCUGCCCUUUAGCACCAUUUGGAAUGCUUUGUCGUUGUUGUUUGAAUUCUAUUCAAUCGUACUUGGAGAUCGAAUUUAA
This is a long non-coding RNA of Suricata suricatta (meerkat), 724 nucleotides long. RefSeq lists it as uncharacterized. NCBI's taxonomy places the organism in Eukaryota, Metazoa, Chordata, Mammalia, Carnivora, Herpestidae. The record is from RefSeq and is a predicted model, not a curated record. The transcript is spliced from 3 exons.